GGUAUCUUCAUCUCACCGAGAUGACAGUGCAGUGCAGCAGAGCCUAUGAGAAGCAGGACCACGCCAGACGUGACUGGUCUGCUCCACUGGUUGGCACAGCAGGCUUUGUCACGGACCGCAGUGGAUGUUGGGACAUUGCCCCAUGCGCACUUUACAGCAUCUUCAUUCCUGAUGGGGCCUGGUAAUCUGUGAGAAAUGAACUUCAAUUGCUUUUUCUGCGAGUGCUGAAAACUUACUUUUACAUCACUGGAGGGCCCUGGCAAAGCACAUGUCAAGGACCUGCAGGGAAUGCUGAAACAGACGGAGCAGGUGCCUCCUUGCGGUGUGUGAGCUCGGGAGAUGGCUCAGCAUUUGCUUUCUGUGAUGGUCAAGUGCUUCUUGACAUCCAGGGCCCUGACAGUCUGGGAGAUUCGGAGUGAGUUUGCCAAUUCGCAGCUUUUACUUGGAAAAGCAAAUCAUGACCGAGGACCAUCAAGAAAAGAAUUCCCAAUAUUCACAUGCUCAGCUCUGAUCUUCUCAUUUAUAUCCUGCGUUUUCAGACACAGAGAGCAAGAUUAAAAAAAAAAAAAAAAGUGCCAACAGACAUUGGAGACACAAGGCCAGUGGUGUUCAGCUGCCUUUUGGUGAGAAUAACAAUUCUCAGUUUCUCGGUUAUAAACACCAACUUAUGACAACACAGCAUUGGAACUAUAUUAAGAUUGAAAAUAAUUCUUUUUUUUAAAAAGAUAUCAUUGGAGAAAAUGGAAAGAGAAGAGAAA
Molecule: long non-coding RNA, 758 nt
Organism: Mustela erminea (ermine)
Lineage: Eukaryota; Metazoa; Chordata; Mammalia; Carnivora; Mustelidae
Exons: 3
Source: RefSeq, a predicted model, not a curated record